GACGAACGCUGGCGGCGCGCUUAAUACAUGCAAGUCGAACGAGAAGCCAGAGCUUGCUCUGGUGGAAAGUGGCGAACGGGUGAGUAACACGUGAGAAACCUGCCCCAAAGAUUGGGAUAAGCCUUGGAACGAGGUCUAAUACCAAAUACCUUCUUUUUAACACAUGUUAAAAAGAAGAAAUGCUCCGGCGCUUUGGGAUGGUCUCGCGAUCUAUCAGCUUGUUGGUGAGGUAACGGCUCACCAAGGCAUCGACGGAUAGCUGGUCUGAGAGGAUGUCCAGCCACAUUGGAACUGAGACACGGUCCAAACUCCUACGGGAGGCAGCAGUAGGGAAUCUUGCACAAUGAGGGAAACCUUGAUGCAGCGACGCCGCGUGCGGGACGAAGGCCCUAGGGUUGUAAACCGCUUUCAGUAGGGACGAAAGUGACGGUACCUACAGAAGAAGCCCCGGCAACUAUGUGCCAGCAGCCG
This 471-nucleotide ribosomal RNA is filed under the name uncultured bacterium. RNAcentral's name for it is "bacterial SSU rRNA". It matches the Rfam family "Bacterial small subunit ribosomal RNA", at positions 28 to 517 of the family's 1533-position model. The record is from RNAcentral.